RNAcentral lists this non-coding RNA (27 nucleotides) under Bombyx mori (domestic silkworm). Lineage: Eukaryota; Metazoa; Arthropoda; Insecta; Lepidoptera; Bombycidae. The record is from RNAcentral.
ACAUGAGUGAACAUCAGGAGAAGGUGU